This is a long non-coding RNA of Taeniopygia guttata (zebra finch), 6434 nucleotides long. The record is from Ensembl. Lineage: Eukaryota; Metazoa; Chordata; Aves; Passeriformes; Estrildidae.
UUUUUUUUUUUUUUUUAAUUGCUAAUGGUAGCCUCUGAUGGCUUCAAGACAUGACAUGCAGCCUUCCAGUUCAGUACAGGGUGUGUUUUGGGAAAAGGAGAGGACUUGCAAAGAGCCCUUGAUCUGAUCAGGAAGGCAUCAAGCUGCACACGUGCAGGCCCUAUGUUGUGAGCUGGAACUCACCUCCUUUUCAGCAAUUUUCUGGAGGUGAAAUGAAGGGUAGUCAGUGGUUGUGGCAUGAUGCUGGGCUUUGGAAGUCUUUUGUUUGGCUGUUUUGCCACAGGUGACUCAGAUCUGCCUCACUUGAUCUUUUCGCUGGCGUUGUAACAGGAAUGCUCCUGUGUUUUUCUGCACCAGGUUGCUACACACAUCGGUAUGUUACCACUGGUUUCCUGUUUAGAUACUGCAGACAUUAGGACUGCAGAGCUACUUUAACUGUAUCCUAAAAGUCUUUAUGAAGCAUUGAUUGGGCAAGAAAUGAGAAGCAGCAGGAAGCCACAGCUUUCUGACUUAGGAACUUGCAAGUCUUUCAUACAGCUCAUCUUGAGCUUUGCUGACAUGAUCUCACUUGCUAAUGUUUUUUUGCAGAGCAUCCUAUGUAAUGACAUAAUUAGUGUAAAUUGCAUUUUAUUUUUAAAUCAUCCCCUUUCCUUCCUGAUUUUUUCAUAUCUAAAUGUCAACUUUUAUGGUAAAGAGUGGUGUGCUGCAGAGGCUGAGCAGAAAAACACUUGUGCAGGUGGAAAUCUGCUGGUGGAGCUUCUGAGACGAUGUUGAACAGGAGCUCAGCUGGUUGAGGUCAAUGUUUUCUUAAGGCAUAGCAGGUUGUGCUUGAUUUUGUUUUCUUCUUGCAGCUCAAGUUCUCCUGCCAUAUCAGGUAUUAAAGGCCUUAAAUUAUGAGUAGUACUGGUGAAUUGUAAAUACAUAUCCAGAUUUUACAGAUCAAAGGUAAAUGAUAAUGUUACUGCACCAAACCAGUUCAAACAUGGUACAGUAAAAAUCCCACUCCCUUAAUAUGUUGGGAAUUACUUUCCACACAUUACUUACUUUUCUCUGGAAGAUUAAAUUCAAAGAAAGUUCUAAUACACUUUCCAUUUUGCUUUUUCUUGUCAUUAUGGUAAGAUUUUUAGGAGCAGGCAUAGCUUCCUUAUUGAAUAUAUAUGCAAAUCUGACACCAGAAUUUGGUUCUUCAAAACAAUAUAUUAAAAACAAAAAAACAAAACAGGAGAGUUAUUUAAUUGAUUAGGAAUUUUGGAAUUGGUACAUAUCCCUGUUUUUCAAAGCAAAGAAGAUUCAGGUAAGUUCAGAAAUCAAAAUAUUUACCUAAAAGUUGUGUAACUGCAGUAAUAAACUAUUGAUACUAUCAGUUAUAACAGAAUCUCAUUAUAGUCUUGAAGAUCCAUGAGCUGAAUAUUGUAGUCUUGAACAUCCACCUUCAUUGCAGGCUAGGACUAUCACUGUUAUAAUUUUAUGCAUUAGAAAACUGAGGCAUAUAUAAGAAGUGGAACUUUGCUAAAAGUCAGAGACUUCUGCAACUCACUCACACUUUUUCUCCCUCUUGUUCAUCUGAGUUGUUUAAAGUUUGCUCCUUAAUUUUCUUCUCAAUAUUCAUCAGGAUAUAAUGAAAGCCUGUUCCCAAAGCUAAAGGAAGUUGAGAAGACAAUGAAGGACUUGGAAAGAUGAAGACUCCAGAAACUGGAUUCUGGGCAUGUACUGCCAGGACGGAGGAUUUUUAUUUAAUUUUAUAGAAAAAUGUUCUGGUUAUUUUACACUGAGAUGCAAAAUCUCAUUUUCAGCCAAGCCCCGGAGGGAGUAAAAGGAACUUGGAGAGCUCAUAAAGACAAGUGUAAUAGGAUUAAUAAGAAAAAGGCCUAAGACAUAAGCCUUCAUUGUACACAUUUCUUGCUAAAUUUUAGUAUUGAUGAAGGUGAAAUGCCAAAACGUAACCAUGUGCUCAUGUCCUUUAGGCAGUAACAGAAUAUCAGCAUUCAUGUGUGCUGCUCCUGCCACCACUUUAAGAGCAAAGACGUGGGGAUGCUGCCUUUUGAGGUGGACAGUGAAGGGAAAGGGGCAGGAAAGCUGGUCAUGAAUGGAGGCAGCUCUUCUAGCAGGAUAAAUAUUUACCUGGUAUUGAAUGUGCAUGUGGGAUGGAGAGUGUUCAAGGAAGGGUGGGAAACCCUUUCACAAAUGAAAGGGAACGGUUGAAUGCCCAGAGAAUGGAGCAAAGGUUAAUUUCCAUCACCACUGAUGAGAUCCAGAGAGACACAGAGGCAGAUCAAAGACAAGGAAUGGGUCCUAAAGGGGGUAAGUAUAGUGUCCCGUGGUGCCUUCAGUGCAUCAGUUAUCUCAGCAUCUCCAAGGUAGCUAAGGAAUCUUUUCUGACUGCCACCCAGCAGACCUCUGUGGCUGCACAGGGUACCCAAGUCCUAUAGCAACCUGUCCUUUGCUCACCCAGACUUUUACCAGAAGAAAAUGGAAAGAGAGAUGGGGCCAGGCCCAUCACAUUUUCUUGUCUGUUUGUUUUGCCCAUCUGUCUGUCUGCUACUGCCAGUGCCCAUGUUGUGGGAGAAGGAUGAUUGCAUCAUUUCCAUAUAGCUUGCUGUUCCAACCCCCUGAUUUAAGGUGAAAUUUGGUUGUGCUGCUGGGUGUUCGGAUGUUUGCCAGGUAGGUGCUACCAAGAACAUUUAUUAAAAUAGACAGAUGGGCACUGAGGUAGGAAGCAGCCAUUAGAAUGCUUGAAAUCAACCAACUGUGAAAUAGAAAAAUCAGAAAAAAAAGUAUUCUUGGAGCCUUUAAUACUAGGCUUCCCUUUUGGGGCUGUCCUUCUUACUUUUUUUACAUGUACACACCCACAAAGAGAGAGCUAUUUAUGAAAAUACCACAGCCUGGUUUUUGUCUUUUUAGGCAUUUCUGUUUAGCCAGAAUUUGGAGGGAAUCUGAGGAUGGCUCCCUGAGCCAAAACUGGUGCACGCAAAAUCCAAAUGCAGCUUUGCUUGGAAAACUCAGGUUCCUCAGACAGCUGGGGCAUCUCAAGCUCAGGCAGGGUCUGCCCUGUCCCUGCUUGAGUGCAGUAGGAGGAACACAGCCACUGACUGCUGGUAGGUAGGAGGUGAGAUUCCUAAUCACUUGUCUAGAUGCAUUUGCAACUUCUUCUGAUUCCUUAACAGCUCUUUCUGUCUGCUCAAGUUCCUUUGGCAUUGUGAUCACUCUCCAUUAGCUCUCCCUAGUAGUAGCAUGAGAUGCCAGGAUAGAUACUGUCAAAAUCAAACAUCUUUGUUUGUUCCUUUUCUUUCUUCCCUAACGUAGCACUGGAAAAAAAACCAAGAUAUGUACAUUUGUCUUUCCAUAGCUUUGUCUAGAAGGGGGAGUCCAUGGCUAUUAAAACCAGAAUGUGUCAGUCAGACAUAUCAUAUUAUUGGGGAGAUCACUACUCUUAGGUAUGAAAAGCAUUGUCAAAUUAGUCACUGUCUGGAGAUAAACUGCUGUGGUGUCAGUAUUAGCAGCUUAUUUGGAGUUUAGUGUUUAAUUCUCAGGGGAUGAAGGGCAGUCCCCAGCACUGCAACUUUCUUGCAGCUGUGAUCUUGGCUGAGUCACUUGCUGGCAUCUGUUUCAGGACCAGCCUGCAAGAACUGUGAAUUUUCUUUGAGCUUUUAUGAUUCUAAAGUUGACCUUGGUCUUACAGUAUUGCUGCUUAUCUGUCACUAACCUGAAGGGAGUAAGGACAGCUUCAAUGGGUGCUCAGGUAUGACAGCAAUGACUGGGGUAGAAUAUUUAUCUGCUAGUUAGAUGCAUAGUAAGAGCUUGUUUGUAAUAGGAACAGACCAAGUUCAGAAGUUCUUUCUUAGUGCCUGUUCUUCAUCAUGCUGAUGACACUAUCCCAGAGAAAAACUUAAAGUAGGAUAUGAGAUUUAUACUGAGGCAGUGAAGACUGGCUCUCCACUGUUUUCCCCAGUGGGUCUGUACAAAGCCAGAUCCUUGUAUCACUUCAAGGGCCUGAUGUUAUAGACAGAGAUUUUUUCAUUUCUUUGUGCUUUACCUCAGCUUUGGGCACAGGGAAAUGACAGUUCUGGUCUCCAGAUGGUAUCAACUGGUGUAACCAUCUGGGAGUAGGGCUUGUGAAUGCAGGAUAAGACAUUCAAAGUAUGUUUUUUUCCUGUUUCUUUUUUCUGUUUACUGUGAAGCUCUUUGAGAUCUUCUAAAGGAAGGUGCUAUAAAAUACAAACCAUUAGUCAAGAGUAUCUAAGUGCACAUUUUUGUCCUGUUUCUCUUAGUACUGCAUAACAUUCCUUUCCAUUGGCUGAUUUAUAACCCCUAGAUCUGCAAGGUCAUUUCCAUGUGAUUCUGCAGUGUUGCACUUUUAAAUGAUGCUAAAAGCUCCCCUUUUUUAUCAGGAUAAAAUUAAUACAAAUCAAGCAGACCUUGACCAAAGGAGUAGCCCAAUAAAACUGUAAGUUGCCUAUACUAGGCCAGUAACUAGGAAUCAAUUUGCAAAGGUCAGUGGUGCUUUCAGAUCCCUUUUUUGGCCUCAUCAGCACUGUAUACAGCUACAAGGUCUGCAAGGGUCAGAAAGCACAUUUACCUCUCAAACACAGCAAAACCUCUGUUUCCCUCACUUUCCAAGCACCUAUACCCAUGGGUUCAGGUGAGCCAAGAGGGUUCUUUUAGCCAAAGGCAUUGUACCUCACAGUACAGUUAUUGAUGGGGAGACAUUCAGUGAACUUCUUCCCUCCAAAUAGAGAAGGCACUUGCUUGCAACUUCACCUGAGGCUGGCAAGAGUCCUUCCGUUUAUUUGAGGUCCCAUCUGCAGCAUCCUGUGAUUUUCCAGCUAUGAUUGUUGCUGCCUCUAGAAUCACAGGAAUCAAAAGCAAGACAUGUCUUUGGUGAUUAGAUGUGCUCCAUUGACUAGAUCUGGGUUUGAGAGAAGCAUGUUCAGGUCUUGAGCAGUGUUUCAUGAGGAAAUAGUGCUUGUCUUUUCCAUUGCUCCUGCCUCACACAGUGAACCCAGAAUGUAAGGCCAAGGACACAACUUCUGCAGCUCCCUCAAUUGUGAGUCAUAUUUUUCUGGCCAAUGUGUUUCUAUGUUUCUGUUGUCUCCCAAGGUGACAAGUACAAAAGAAAAGGAACAGUAGUGGGGGGAAAAGGCUUUUUGUCUUUUUAAUCUCACCAUGAUACAGAAUUAAUCAAGCGUCAUAGAAGUAUCACAGGAAACUGUUAGGCAAGUGGACUUGUCUGAAGCUGGAAGGAAUGUGGGACAAGCAACCUACUGACUACAGUAUGAUGCAAUCUUCUAGAAAUAAGAUUCAGACCAAAGUGUGGCUGGUGAAAACUUCCAGAGUCCUGACUGGAGCCUGGGACCACACACCCACACUACUCUGCGUGAAGGCCGUCUCUAGCUCCCCUAGACUGAGAUGGAAGCAUUUAAAAUGAAAACAAAUCCAUAAAAGACUGCUGUUCAGCUGUUUGAGAGAUGUCAAUGAUGCCAUCAUUCUUCUUUGAGGUGGACUUGCAGGCAAAGUCACCCUCUCCCCAUUAAGAACCCUCACUCUCUACACUGCUUUGAUACUUUCACACUGGCUUUGUCUUUCAGUGUCCCUCCCUUCUUUGUGUGUGCCUCCUAUGACGAGGCAGGCACCAUUAUGCAGUAGGAUAGAAAGCAGUCCUGGAGUUUGCAGACUGGACCUUUUUUUUCCCCUGGAGAAUGAUGGUGAAGGAAAAUUGCUUCUGCUGGGCUUCAUUUUGCAGUAACUGGUGUUUGGCCAUCAGCCUUGACCUCCAGCCAGCUUUACACCUGCCAAAGAUCAGUCCCCUCACCUGUGUCUACACAUGUAUGUCACUCCAUGCUGGUUCCUUUCCUGCUUUUUCCUUUGGUCCCGUGGGAGACAAAGGGAACAGGUCAGUUAGAUCUGGUCUUGCAAAUUUUCAUGUGUUUGCAUUUUUACCUGCCUUCCCACUGUCCCUAAUUGCCCUUGCUCCAACCUUCUGUGCUGCCUUUUCUCACUUUGCUGCUUCCUUCCCAUUGCUUUUCCUCUUCUGUGCUUUCAUACACGGCCCCACAUGGAGUCCUCUCCUUUUUGCCAUGCAGCCCCUUCUCACUGGCAUGUAGUGAAGUCACAAUUGCCUCCAGUUAGUCAAUUAAGCGAUCAAGUUUUAUGGCUGUGCUAGGUUGUUGGGGUUUCUUUUUCCUACUUAGUAUUAUUUUUCCAGCUCCAUCUUGGCACCUACAUUUAUUUGAAACAAAUUGCAGGAUAAUCUGUUUUUCAAAUUCUCAAGAAGCGAAUUCCUGGUUCCAGGGGGUUGGUGUUUUGGGCACCUGGUGCCAGGGAUCUGGGACUGCACACAGAGAUUUCUGCUAUGUGAGGAAAUACUUCAUUAGACUUGUAUUCCACGAAGACACUCUUGCUUCUUAACACCUAUGAUUUUAAUUAAAACCUGGAAA